CAUAUCAAUAAGCGGAGGAAAAGAAACCAACAGGGAUUGCCUUAGUAGCGGCGAGUGAAGCGGCAAAAGCUCAAAUUUGAAAUCUGGCACCUUCGGUGUCCGAGUUGUAAUUUGAAGAUUGUAACCUUGGGGUUGGCUCUUGUCUAUGUUUCUUGGAACAGGACGUCACAGAGGGUGAGAAUCCCGUGCGAUGAGAUGCCCAAUCCUAUGUAAGGUGCUUUCGAAGAGUCGAGUUGUUUGGGAAUGCAGCUCUAAGUGGGUGGUAAAUUCCAUCUAAAGCUAAAUAUUGGCGAGAGACCGAUAGCGAACAAGUACAGUGAUGGAAAGAUGAAAAGAACUUUGAAAAGAGAGUGAAAAAGUACGUGAAAUUGUUGAAAGGGAAGGGUUUGAGAUCAGACUCGAUAUUUUGUGAGCCUUGCCUUCGUGGCGGGGUGACCCGCAGCUUAUCGGGCCAGCAUCGGUUUGGGCGGUAGGAUAAUGGCGUAGGAAUGUGACUUUGCUUCGGUGAAGUGUUAUAGCCUGCGUUGAUGCUGCCUGCCUAGACCGAGGACUGCGAUUUUAUCAAGGAUGCUGGCAUAAUGAUCCCAAACCGCCCGUCUU
Molecule: ribosomal RNA, 600 nt
Filed under: Meyerozyma caribbica
Lineage: Eukaryota; Fungi; Ascomycota; Pichiomycetes; Serinales; Debaryomycetaceae
Description: LSU rRNA
Rfam family: Eukaryotic large subunit ribosomal RNA
Source: RNAcentral